CGGCAGAGUAGAGGCCAAGGGAGGGCUCUGUGCCAGCCCCGAUGAGGACGCUGCUGACCAUCUUGACUGUGGGAUCCCUGGCUGCUCACGCCCCUGAGGACCCCUCGGAUCUGCUCCAGCACGUGAAAUUCCAGAGCCCCACCUCCUAACACCAUGGAUUCAAAGUGCUCAGGGAAUUUGCCUCUCCUUGCCCCAUUCCUGGCCAGUUUCACAAUCUAGCUCGACAGAGCAUGAGGCCCCUGCCUCUUCUGUCAUUGUUCAAAGGUGGGAAGAGAGCCUGGAAAAGAACCAGGCCUGGAAAAGAACCAGAAGGAGGCUGGGCAGAACCAGAACAACCUGCACUUCUGCCAAGGCCAGGGCCAGCAGGACGGCAGGACUCUAGGGAGGGGUGUGGCCUGCAGCUCAUUCCCAGCCAGGGCAACUGCCUGACGUUGCACGAUUUCAGCUUCAUUCCUCUGAUAGAACAAAGCGAAAUGCAGGUCCACCAGGGAGGGAGACACACAAGCCUUUUCUGCAGGCAGGAGUUUCAGACCCUAUCCUGAGAAUGGGGUUUGAAAGGAAGGUGAGGGCUGUGGCCCCUGGACGGGUACAAUAACACACUGUACUGAUGUCACAACUUUGCAAGCUCUGCCUUGGGUUCAGCCCAUCUGGGCUCAAAUUCCAGCCUCACCACUCACAAGCUGUGUGACUUCAAACAAAUGAAAUCAGUGCCCAGAACCUCGGUUUCCUCAUCUGUAAUGUGGGGAUCAUAACACCUACCUCAUGGAGUUGUGGUGAAGAUGAAAUGAAGUCAUGUCUUUAAAGUGCUUAAUAGUGCCUGGUACAUGGGCAGUGCCCAAUAAACGGUAGCUAUUU
Molecule: long non-coding RNA, 855 nt
Filed under: Homo sapiens (human)
Lineage: Eukaryota; Metazoa; Chordata; Mammalia; Primates; Hominidae
Description: non-protein coding lnc-IL22RA1-2:1
Source: RNAcentral